GAGAGUUUGGCCGAGUGGUUUAAGGCGUCAGAUUUAGGUUUACUACCUAGAAGCCCAAAUCCUCUGAUAUCUACGGAUGCAUGGGUUCGAAUCCCAUAGCUCUCA
RNAcentral lists this transfer RNA (105 nucleotides) under Zygosaccharomyces mellis. Its description in RNAcentral is "tRNA-Leu". It matches the Rfam family "tRNA". Rfam says of the family: Transfer RNA (tRNA) molecules are approximately 80 nucleotides in length. Their secondary structure includes four short double-helical elements and three loops (D, anti-codon, and T loops). The record is from RNAcentral. Lineage: Eukaryota; Fungi; Ascomycota; Saccharomycetes; Saccharomycetales; Saccharomycetaceae.